CGCCAUCGCCUGGUGGCGGACACGAGGGGUGCCGCUUCCCCAGUGGCUGUGCCGUUUCACGAAACCGGCGUCGGCGGAGCCGGGCGGCCACAGCCACUCACUUGGCAGCGUCCAGCCCGUCCCGAUCCUGCAAACCACGGACCCUGAGAGGGGCCCCCCGGACCCCGAUGCGGAGACAACGCGGCUGUUGCAGGAGGAGGCCUCCCCGCCGACGCCCGGGGCCCAGACCCGCCCGGGACCCUCAGCCGACCCCGACCCCGACCCCGACCCUGAGGCAGGAGCGGAGCUGCAGGUGGAGGUUGUGGGAGGCGGCCGGGCAGCCCCAGAGCCGGCGCCCCCGACUCCGGCUGCCGCUGCCCCCGGGGCCCUGGCCUGGGCUGAGGUAGCCGCCGGCCUCCAUCCUGUG
Molecule: long non-coding RNA, 406 nt
Organism: Eptesicus fuscus (big brown bat)
Lineage: Eukaryota; Metazoa; Chordata; Mammalia; Chiroptera; Vespertilionidae
Exons: 4
Source: RefSeq, a predicted model, not a curated record